RNAcentral lists this ribosomal RNA (497 nucleotides) under uncultured bacterium. RNAcentral describes it as "partial 16S ribosomal RNA". It matches the Rfam family "Bacterial small subunit ribosomal RNA", at positions 28 to 507 of the family's 1533-position model. The record is from RNAcentral.
GAUGAACGCUGGCGGCGUGCCUAAUACAUGCAAGUCGAGCGAACGGACGAGAAGCUUGCUUCUCUGAUGUUAGCGUCGGACGGGUGAGUAACACGUGGAUAACCUACCUAUAAGACUGGGAUAACUUCGUGAAACCGUAGCUAAUACCGGCUAAUAUUUUGAACCGCAUGGUUCAAAAGUGAAAGACGGUCUUGCUGUCACUUAUCGAUGGAUCCGCGCUGCAUUAGCUAGUUGGUAAGGUAACGGCUUACCAAGGCAACGAUGCAUAGCCGACCUGGGAGGGUGAUCGGCCACACUGGAACUGAGACACGGUCCAGACUCCUACGGGAGGCAGCAGUAGGGAAUCUUCCGCAAUGGGCGAAAGCCUGACGGAGCAACGCCGCGUGAGUGAUGAAGGUCUUCGGAUCGUAAAACACUGUUAGUAGGGAAGAACAUAUGUGUAAGUAACUGUGCACAUCUUGACGGUACCUAAUCAGAAAGCCACGGCUAACUACGUG